RNAcentral lists this ribosomal RNA (676 nucleotides) under bacterium AM0030. RNAcentral's name for it is "bacterial SSU rRNA". It matches the Rfam family "Bacterial small subunit ribosomal RNA", at positions 92 to 755 of the family's 1533-position model. The record is from RNAcentral.
UUAGCGGCGGACGGGUGAGUAACACGUGGGUAACCUACCUAUAAGACUGGAAUAACUUCGGGAAACCGGAGCUAAUGCCGGAUAACAUAUAGAACCGCAUGGUUCUAUAGUGAAAGAUGGUUUUGCUAUCACUUAUAGAUGGACCCGCGCCGUAUUAGCUAGUUGGUAAGGUAAUGGCUUACCAAGGCGACGAUACGUAGCCGACCUGAGAGGGUGAUCGGCCACACUGGAACUGAGACACGGUCCAGACUCCUACGGGAGGCAGCAGUAGGGAAUCUUCCGCAAUGGGCGAAAGCCUGACGGAGCAACGCCGCGUGAGUGAUGAAGGUUUUCGGAUCGUAAAACUCUGUUAUUAGGGAAGAACAAAUGCGUAAGUAACUGUGCGCAUCUUGACGGUACCUAAUCAGAAAGCCACGGCUAACUACGUGCCAGCAGCCGCGGUAAUACGUAGGUGGCAAGCGUUAUCCGGAAUUAUUGGGCGUAAAGCGCGCGUAGGCGGUUUCUUAAGUCUGAUGUGAAAGCCCACGGCUCAACCGUGGAGGGUCAUUGGAAACUGGGAAACUUGAGUGCAGAAGAGGAAAGUGGAAUUCCAUGUGUAGCGGUGAAAUGCGCAGAGAUAUGGAGGAACACCAGUGGCGAAGGCGACUUUCUGGUCUGUAACUGACGCUGAUGUGCG